RNAcentral lists this unclassified non-coding RNA (350 nucleotides) under soil metagenome. RNAcentral describes it as "partial contains 5.8S ribosomal RNA, internal transcribed spacer 2, and large subunit ribosomal RNA". The stretch from base 1 to 120 matches the Rfam family "5.8S ribosomal RNA", at positions 35 to 154 of the family's 154-position model. The record is from RNAcentral.
GAUGAAGAACGUAGCGAAAUGCGAUAAGUAAUGUGAAUUGCAGAAUUCAGUGAAUCAUCGAAUCUUUGAACGCACAUUGCGCCCGCCAGUAUUCUGGCGGGCAUGCCUGUUCGAGCGUCAUUACAACCCUCAGGCCCCCGGGCCUGGCGUUGGGGAUCGGCGGAGCCCCCCGUGGGCACACGCCGUCCCCCAAAUGCAGUGGCGGUCCCGCCGCAGCUUCCAUCGCGUAGUAGCUAACACCUCGCGACUGGAGAGCGGCGCGGCCACGCCGUAAAACACCCAACUCUUCAAGUUGACCUCGAAUCAGGUAGGAAUACCCGCUGAACUUAAGCAUAUCAAUAAGCGGAGGA